UAACGCGUGGAUAACCUGCCUCACACAGGGGGAUAACAGUUAGAAGUGACUGCUAAUACCGCAUAAGCGCACGGCAUCGCAUGAUGCAGUGUGAAAAACUCCGGUGGUGUGAGAUGGAUCCGCGUCUGAUUAGGUAGUUGGUGGGGUAACGGCCCACCAAGCCGACGAUCAGUAGCCGACCUGAGAGGGUGACCGGCCACAUUGGGACUGAGACACGGCCCAA
This 223-nucleotide ribosomal RNA is filed under the name uncultured bacterium. RNAcentral describes it as "partial 16S ribosomal RNA". It matches the Rfam family "Bacterial small subunit ribosomal RNA", at positions 111 to 334 of the family's 1533-position model. The record is from RNAcentral.